Molecule: long non-coding RNA, 1253 nt
Filed under: Homo sapiens (human)
Lineage: Eukaryota; Metazoa; Chordata; Mammalia; Primates; Hominidae
Description: HSALNT0386408
Source: RNAcentral
CUUCUCUUUCCUGCUGCCAUGUGAAGAAGGAUGUAUUUGCUUCUCCUUCUGCCAUGAUCACAGGAACCGAGGCUGGGUCAUCGGCUCCAGAAUUUACCAGGCUGUGCAUUGUAGAACCUCCUCAUGGACGGGCUCUGUGUGCAGGCUUUACUCUGGCCAAUGGCAGCUAGGAUUUAGAACCUGGACCUGGACGCCUCACUGCUUCCUGCUUCCUUAGUGCCUUGUGGCCUGGAGUCAGAAUAAUCUAGCUCAAACUUGGGAGUCAAAUGCUCCAGGGUCUUGAACUGGUCAGAGCUCUCAAUGCCGCAAAGACACUUUCAGAAGAGGAACGAAGGCCUGGAAGGAAAAGCAUCAGGGGAACGACGCUUACGUCUCUCCUCCUCCCUCCGGUCUCCCACCAGUGCUCCCAUUGGCUGAAGCCAACCAGAAGCCACAGGACUCUAUCACCCAGGCUGGAGUGCAGCAGCGCGAUCUCGGCUCACUGCAACGUCCGCCUCCUGGGUUCAAGUGAUUCUCCUGCCUCAGCCUCCUGAGUAGCUAGGAUUACAGGAAUCCUGAGGUCAGCAUCAUCCCAAUUUCACAGAGUAUGACAUGACGUCUCAGAGAGGGUAAGCAGCUUGCCAAACAUUCCACAGCCAGGAAGCUGUAGGACCAGCCUGUGCUCCUAAGGACUGGCUCCUGGCUGCUAUAUAUAGAACUAAGCCUGGUGGAGGUGUCAGAAAUAGAGGUUCACUUCUGUCAUCACCGACCUCCCUCCACACCUUUGCAAAGGAGGAAACUGAGAGGCAGGGAUUUCCGCAGAGCAAGGAACCCAAAUUGCUGCCUCCUGUGAUUUAUACACUGCACCCCAAGCUGUAGGGGUAACCCAAGGACAAAGCUGUAACCCAAGCGGGAACAUAUGCCCCAUCUGGGGCCACCAAAAUCUUACCAGCUUCCUCAGCUGGUGGAUCGGUUAAUUCACGGCCACAGCCCCCUGGAGCUGGGGGAAAGGAAAACCAGGGCGUCUCCGCAAACCAGCCCAGAGAGAGGUCUGCGGAAGGGCCCGGAAGCCUGCAGGCCCCUCUGCACCCCCAACCCCACCGCCAUCCUGGACCUCCAAGAUGACCUGGUCCAACAGAGUCCUGCAUGGAAAAGACUGGAACCCAGGGAGGAGCAGAGCCCCGCCCAAGGUCACCGGCCGAGCCUGAAUAGAACCCGGUUCUCCAGGAGCCCUGUCUUUAGCUGUCUUGUCCAAAUAAAAUUUUUCAGGCCAU